GUGGGGAAUCUUCCGCAAUGGGCGAAAGCCUGACGGAGCAACGCCGCGUGAGUGAUGAAGUUCUUCGGAACGUAAAACUCUGUUGUUCACGACGAACGGGGGGACCAGGAAAUGGGUUUCCAGUGACGGUAGUGAACGAGGAAGCCACGGCUAACUACGUGCCAGCAGCCGCGGUAAUACGUAGGUGGCAAGCGUUGUCCGGAAUUAUUGGGCGUAAAGCGCAUGUAGGCGGUUCCUUAAGUCGGUCGUGAAAAUGCGGUGCUUAACGCCGUAUGGCGAUCGAAACUGGGGGACUUGAGUGCAGGAGAGGAAAGGGGAACUCCCAGUGUAGCGGUGAAAUGCGUAGAUAUUGGGAAGAACACCGGUGGCGAAGGCGCCUUUCUGGACUGUGUCUGACGCUGAGAUGCGAAAGCCAGGGUAGCGAACGGGAUUAGAAACCCUAGUAGUCC
This 449-nucleotide ribosomal RNA is filed under the name uncultured bacterium. RNAcentral's name for it is "bacterial SSU rRNA". It matches the Rfam family "Bacterial small subunit ribosomal RNA", at positions 354 to 796 of the family's 1533-position model. The record is from RNAcentral.